Molecule: long non-coding RNA, 2462 nt
Filed under: Mus musculus (house mouse)
Lineage: Eukaryota; Metazoa; Chordata; Mammalia; Rodentia; Muridae
Description: long non-coding RNA chr6:33598773-33601235
Source: RNAcentral
AUUAAUGAUCUCUAUGUGUAGUGAAAGAGUCUGGCACAAAAAAUUAGAUAGAAAAUGAUGGAUGACACCCAGUCUCAACCUCUGCUCAUUGUAUGCAUCUGUAUAUACACUAAUGUAUAUACAUUUACACAAUACACAUAAAAGUUUUAAACUAAUAUUCUGUAGCUUUGUAGUAAUUUUGGUAGAGUUUUAUAUGGCUGUCUGAAUUUUAUUCUUGGUGUUCAGGUUUAAGAAAUAAGUCAUGACUUGAAAUAAGAAUUAGAAGAGUUUUUCAGAUACCAGAAGGCAGUUUGGGCUGAGCUCAUUCAUGUAACUUAGCCCACCCUGGGAAGAUGUGCAGCGCUCCAGGCAGAGCAUGAGAAGCGGCCGAUGGGCUCUCCUGCCUUUUGGUUUUCAGUCUCCUAAGGUCAAAUGGCAUUUUUCCUGCUAAGUGAGAAAGUUAUCCUACAGGCCUAAUGGUAGUUACUCAUCCCGUUUGUUUUCUUAUUAGUUUAAUGAUAAUGAAUUACAAAGGAAAUUUGUGGGUAACAUUUUUCCUGCUUAUAAUUAAUGCACAGCCCAAGGAGAAACUGGCAUUCUAUACUAUUGAAAAUAAUAAAAUCCUAAUAACAAAGUCCCAAUAAAGCUUUAGAGUCUGUUUCUGGCAUAAAAAAUUAAAAACUAGAACAACAUCUUAACACAGAACACUGUUUUAGACAAGGGCGUUAAAAUGGCCAGAGCUUUAGUAUUAGUAAAUCUAACCCAACCCUGUCAACACACAUAAUUGAGUAUGCAUGAUAUUCACAGUUUACUAAAGGGGAUCAUUAAACUCCAGAAUAAAUUGCAAUUAUGAGCAGACAUUAUCUCCAGUACUUUUGAAAUGUGCUCUUAAGUUUCUGCUAGUAAGAGCUACACUAUUGUGUUAGACAUUAUUGUACAUGUGUACUCAACACUAAGAGAUAAUCAACUUGGCUAUUGAGGCUCUGUGGAAACAAUUUAGAGCUCAAAUAUAGAGACUGUCUGUCUGCAAAUAUUAUUUUUCCUUUAAUUUAAGGCUAACCUGGAACUUAUGGGCCUCCUACCUUGCUAGGACUAAGAUGUGCUACCACACUUGGCUCUAUUUGCAUAUUUUAGUGUUCUUCAUUAAUAUGGGCUUUUAGAAUAAAUCCAAUCAUGAUUUUUCACUCUUAAAAGAUUUCACAGCUGCAUGAAAACUGGUUGGUGAUAAGCAGCACACAGAAUUGGCCCUCCUGUGAACUGUAGUGGGACCUCACGCUGAGAAAAGACUUACUUCCCUGGCUUAUUUUCUUGUUGAGUUACACAGCAAAUAUUUACUGAGCACCCAUCAAAUACCAGGCUCUAUAGUAGCCAGAGAGAAUCAGACAGGAAUUGCACUUCAAGCUCUCUUACUGCUAACAGUAGUGAGUGGGGCAAAGCAUUGUAAGAAGACAGCAACACACACAAAGAAUGGGAGAAUAUAGUGCCUGAACUUAGACCUUCAGAGAAACCCUUCUAUAGUAGGAAUCUCCUAGGCUGAAAUUAGGAAGAUCCAUACUUAGAUGAGGGAAAUCCAUGCAUAGCCUCAUGAUAAAAGAAAGCCAGAGCAAGAGAGGCAAAUAAUGUGUGUCUGGAGGCCCAGAGAAGCUGAGGUACACCAGCUUUCCAGUGGGACACACUUGCCAUUAGUAAUUUUUUUUCUUUCUCCCAUACUUGGGAGGUGGAUGCAAGUGUUUGUGAAACAUAUGAGUGGCUUCUUGGUCCAUGAAUGGUUUCUUGGUCCAUGAAUUUGUAGGGCCUUUGAGAAUUCUUUGAGAUUGAAAACUUAAGUAUGCUAUACCCAAAUAAAGAGUUCAGACCACUUUCUUUUAUUUUUUUGAUAUUUUAUUUAUUUACAUUUCAAAUGUUAUCCCAUUUCCAGGUUUCCCCUCUGGAAAACCUUCAAUCCCUUCUUCCUCCCCCUGCUUGUAUGAGGGUGUUCUCCCACUCCCCCACCCACUCAAAUACAGAGGUGGAUGCUCCCAGCCAAUCAUUUGACUGAACAGGAGGACUCUAAUGAGAAUCAGAACACUGUCUUCGUCACCUGCCCCAGGCUGCUCUCUGGCUUAUAUUCCCCAACACUCAAGAAUGUACUAUCCUUAGCAGUUAGAGUAUAACCUGCCUAUAUCCAGGUUGAACCAAAAUCUUGAGAUUAUUACUUUGAAUGUAUUCUGCAAAUUUCUACAGAUUUAUCAUGUUACUAAGACACCCUAUAAGCAUUUUAGAACUAUUUCAGAACUAUCAGACAAUACAGAAGUGUAAAAAUGAGAGCUGCAUGCGACUAUCCUGAGAUGUUUCCUGAAAGAGGUAGGACUGAAACCAGAAAGAAACACAGGUUGGUCCAAAGGCACCUUUCUAGUCAGGAAGUGGCACAUAUAAAGGUAGAAAUUACACAGUUAUCCUCAAAUGUAGGCUAUGUGGAGAGAUUAGAGCAGUGAAAAUUUGGC